GACGAACGCUGGCGGCGUGCUUAACACAUGCAAGUCGAACGGAAAGGCCCUGCUUUUGUGGGGUGCUCGAUUGGCGAACGGGUGAGUAACACGCGUGUAACCUGCCCUUGACUUUGUGAUAACUUCAGGAAACUGGGGCUAAUACCGGAUAGGAUCUCCUGCUGCAUGGUGUUGGUUGGAAAGUUUCGGCGGUUGUGGAUGGACUCGCUGCUUAUCCGCUUGUUGGUGUGGUAGUGGCUUACCAAGGCUUUGACGGGUAGCCGGCCUGAGAGGGUGACCGGCGACAUUGGGACUGAGAUACGGACCAGAAUCCUACGGGAGGCAGCAGGCGGGAAUAUUGCAGAAUGGGCGGAAGCCUGAUGCAGCAACGCCGCGUGCGGGAUGACGGCCUUCGAGGUGUGAACCGAUUUCGACUGUGACGAAGCGUGAGUGACGGUAAUGGGUAAAGAAGCACCGGCUAACUACGUG
This 468-nucleotide ribosomal RNA is filed under the name uncultured bacterium. RNAcentral describes it as "partial 16S ribosomal RNA". It matches the Rfam family "Bacterial small subunit ribosomal RNA", at positions 28 to 507 of the family's 1533-position model. The record is from RNAcentral.